UACGUAGGGCGCAAGCGUUUGUCCGGAAUUAUUGGGCGUAAAGAGCUCGUAGGCGGUUUGUCGCGUCUGCCGUGAAAGCCCGGGGCUUAACUCCGGGUCUGCGGUGGAUACGGGCAGACUAGAGGCAGGUAGGGGGAGAACGGAAUUCCCGGUGUAGCGGUGAAAAUGCGCAGAUAUCGGGAGGAACACCGGUGGCGAAGGCGGAUCUCUGGGCCAUUACUGACGCUGAGGAGCGAAAGCGUGGGGAGCGAACAGG
RNAcentral lists this ribosomal RNA (256 nucleotides) under uncultured bacterium. RNAcentral's name for it is "partial 16S ribosomal RNA". It matches the Rfam family "Bacterial small subunit ribosomal RNA", at positions 524 to 776 of the family's 1533-position model. The record is from RNAcentral.